AUUUAAAUAGUUUAAUUAAAAUACUAAUUUGUGGAAUUAGAGAUAUAAUUCUUUUAUUUUAAAUU
RNAcentral lists this transfer RNA (65 nucleotides) under Vespula rufa. RNAcentral's name for it is "tRNA-His". Lineage: Eukaryota; Metazoa; Arthropoda; Insecta; Hymenoptera; Vespidae. The record is from RNAcentral.